UCUAGGUUGGAGCAGCUGCUUUGCGUUGAUGACUCGGUCAGACCUGGAUUAUUUUAUAUCUGCCUGUUGAAUUCUUACAUUUUGAGCGAAUUUUAGUUGAUAUGUCAAUGAAGAACAAAAGCUGGAAUGUGAACAGAGGAAGGGGUUGUUCGUGAUCUGUAAAUACUGGCGAUAUCAGAUCAAGCAUUGGAAUAAGAUUUUUAUCGGGGGAGAACACCCAACAGAAAGAUGUGAUGUGAAAGAAAUGAUUCACCAACUGGCGCACUGAAACGGGAGAUUCAUGUCACCUUCAUCAGUUCUUUCUUUAAUC
Molecule: long non-coding RNA, 310 nt
Organism: Carassius auratus (goldfish)
Lineage: Eukaryota; Metazoa; Chordata; Actinopteri; Cypriniformes; Cyprinidae
Exons: 3
Source: RefSeq, a predicted model, not a curated record